RNAcentral lists this small RNA (479 nucleotides) under Pongo abelii (Sumatran orangutan). Its description in RNAcentral is "sense intronic". The record is from RNAcentral. Lineage: Eukaryota; Metazoa; Chordata; Mammalia; Primates; Hominidae.
UGUGCAUGCUCAUAAAUACACAAAGAAUUUGAUAAAGACAUUCAGAAUAUUGUUUUAAAAAAUAGUAUGCUCCCGGCGUUAUUGCCUAGGCUGACUGCAAAGGAAAUGGAAACUCCUGUCAUCUGCUCACUGAUCAAUAUCUGGGUGACUUGGUCGAGAGUUUAGGGUUGCAAAAGGUGAUAAGGUGCCUCACUUGUCUUCACUGGAUGCAGAUUAAAAUAACUCAUCUCCUGAUGGUAGUGGUGAGAUUUGCUACAAUUGGAUUAGCAGCAUUUUAAACUGUAGACUUACUGGAAGCAAAUUCACUAAUACCAAAAGAAGAGAUGAAUUAGUUGUAACACCUUGUGGUUGUGCUUCCAAGCAGGAAAGACAGCUGCCGUCCCGUGAUGCAUUUUGGAUUCAACGUGAAAAGCAACGGUUCAGUCUUUCAUGGGAAAGCUCUGAGGAAGCUUUGUCUUGUCUCCUGAACUAUCUCCUGA